Molecule: non-coding RNA, 217 nt
Organism: Camelina sativa (false flax)
Lineage: Eukaryota; Viridiplantae; Streptophyta; Magnoliopsida; Brassicales; Brassicaceae
Source: RefSeq, a predicted model, not a curated record
UUAUUGGAAUCAUUUGGGAUAACCUGAAAAAGGAGUUGAACACUUUCCUUACUCUCUGCAUCCAGGCACCAAAAACAUUUAAGGGGAAUGCGCUAAUAUCUAUAACCACUGCUAAAUACUGGCAAGAGAUUAUUGAAGGCCUAGAUGCUCUGCUAAGCACACUAAAAGAGAGCUUUGUUCCUGCGGUUCUUAUUCAAAAGAUAUUCUCUCAGGCUUU